GUUUUGACAUGUGAAAGUGUGCCAGACAGUUGGCAAAUUAGUGUUAAUGAUAGCCAUACAUGUGUAUACUUUUGCUAGGAGUGUGUUGGAAAUUUGGUAAUUGAGUGUUGUGCAGUGAAUUGUGCCUACAGUUUUGCAAAGUGUGUGUUACAAAAUUGCAAACUGAGUGCAAAGCAGUUUUUGUGCUUUUAGUUUUGCAAACUCAGUGAGUGGUUUUGCUAUAAGUCUGACUAGUUUUAAAGAUUGUGCUACAGGAAUCACAGUUAGGGUUUAAGCAUUCAGAAAAAACUGUAAGACUUGGCUCUGCAACCAGAGGAGCCCCUGCUGGCCAUUAGACAGAAGGCACAUCAGGAACUUGGAGUAUGUUUCUCUCCUGAGAGCUGGAGAUGACAUCCAUGUUUUAUAAAUACAGUGAAAGGGCAAAAAAAAAAAAAAAAACAAUGCUAAGGGAAAUGUUAGAUAUUAAAAAAAGAAAAAGAAAAGGAAAGAAAAUUUAAAGAACAAAUUUAAAAGAAAUGUCCUUCCUCACAGAAUCUGUAACAGUACAGAUAUUUGGUGUCAUCCUUCUGAAAGUGCUCCAAGGAUCCUUUGUGCUGUUUAUCGAGAAAGUGCAGCAGUUUGAAGGGAGACGUGCGAAACAAAUAAAGCUAUAAAAAUCCUUCCUUGAACAGGAUUUCCUGUUUCCUGUAAUAAACGAGAUGAAAGGUUAAUCAUAUUCAAGACUGAAUAAACAGUAAAUUGAAAUUAUGAAAUAAGUAAGAUUUUGACUCACUAAUUUCCACUCCUUCGAUAAACUCUUCCACUUGCUGCACAGAUGUAUAAAUGAAAUAUGAGUUUGUGGCCCUGCUGCUGUAUAUCAUCUGUCUCUUGCAGGUUUUAAUGGAAGGGGUCUCCUGCUUGAAAUGCUGCAGCAUAUUUACUGUCACAGGACUCACAUCUCAAAGGCUCCUCCUCAGACUUUACCAGCUGACUUUAUUGGGCUACCAUGAAAUAUACACACACUUUUUUUUUACAAGGGCUGAG
This is a long non-coding RNA of Astatotilapia calliptera (eastern happy), 1023 nucleotides long. Lineage: Eukaryota; Metazoa; Chordata; Actinopteri; Cichliformes; Cichlidae. The record is from Ensembl.